RNAcentral lists this long non-coding RNA (999 nucleotides) under Homo sapiens (human). Its description in RNAcentral is "HSALNT0078761". The record is from RNAcentral. Lineage: Eukaryota; Metazoa; Chordata; Mammalia; Primates; Hominidae.
UGUGAGUCGGGGCGUCGUAGCGCAGCUGCAGCAGCACCCGGGCGCGUCCGGGGCUGUGGGAGCCGAAAGUUGGGGUCUUGCUCUGUCGCUCAGGCUGGAGUGCAGUGGCAUGAUCAUGGGUCACUGCAGCCUUGAACUCCUGGGCUUAAGGGAUCUUCUCAUCUCAGUCUCCUAAAUAGCUGGGACUACAGGCUCAGGCCACCAUGCCUGCAUGAGGCCCUCACCAGAUACAGCCACCUGAUCUUGGACUUCACAGCCUCCAGAAAUAGAUGCCUUCUGCCAUGAUUAUAAGUUUCCUGAGGCCUCCCCAGCCAUGCAGAACUUCCAGUGAUUCAAGUUUGACACACCACACCACGGUGGAUGUGCCUUGUCAUGACACAUCUCAGCAGCACUAGAAGAUACAUCCAAAGUCCUGUGAGCAAGGUCUGUGGUAUCUGUUUAUUAUGGCAGCCCAGUAAGACUAAGACAGGCCAUCACAAGACGUGAACGUUUUGGACCUUCUCUUGGGCCCUAGUAAACAGAAAUCAGAAGGAAGAAAACUUUGCUAAUGCUCUGCCAAGCCUCACUUUUCUCUCAUGAUUAGAAGGUUUGAUGUUAUCCAGAAUUACUCAUGGAAGAUGGAAGAGCUGCAGCAUUACAAUGAAAGCCAUCUUACAACAGCCUGAGCUAUUUAUUAAACUAAUCCACGUUCUGAACAGUUAUUGCUACUGGAAACCAGUCCCGAUCCAGACCACAAAAGACGAUUCUUGGAUCUUGCACAAGAAAGAAAGGCUGGAUCUACAUGCCUCCACUCUGGCUUUUAACAAGGCUCUGAACUAUUGUCAGAACUUGGGAAUUUCUAACAUUGAAGAGUAGAAUCACAUGGGGGCAAUUUAAAGAAUUUCAUCAAUACCUUCAAAUUAAAUAAACCAGCAUCUGGUUGAAAAAAAAAAAUCACUUACCUGGAAGGAGAAACCAAAGAAACAUCCUCAAAUUCUAAAGCUUCAUUCAAAAUUCAAG